This 329-nucleotide ribosomal RNA is filed under the name uncultured Anoxybacillus sp. Its description in RNAcentral is "bacterial SSU rRNA". It matches the Rfam family "Bacterial small subunit ribosomal RNA", at positions 1051 to 1382 of the family's 1533-position model. The record is from RNAcentral. Lineage: Bacteria; Bacillati; Bacillota; Bacilli; Caryophanales; Anoxybacillaceae.
GUCGUCAGCUCGUGUCGUGAGAUGUUGGUUAAGUCCCGCAACGAGCGCAACCCUCGACCUUAGUUGCCAGCAUUCAGUUGGGCACUCUAAGGUGACUGCCGGCUAAAAGUCGGAGGAAGGUGGGGAUGACGUCAAAUCAUCAUGCCCCUUAUGACCUGGGCUACACACGUGCUACAAUGGGCGGUACAAAGGGUCGCGAACCCGCGAGGGGGAGCCAAUCCCAAAAAGCCGCUCUCAGUUCGGAUUGCAGGCUGCAACUCGCCUGCAUGAAGCCGGAAUCGCUAGUAAUCGCGGAUCAGCAUGCCCCGGUGAAUACGUUCCCGGGCCUU